RNAcentral lists this ribosomal RNA (334 nucleotides) under uncultured eukaryote. RNAcentral's name for it is "partial 18S ribosomal RNA". It matches the Rfam family "Eukaryotic small subunit ribosomal RNA", at positions 1470 to 1796 of the family's 1831-position model. The record is from RNAcentral.
CCCUUAGAUGUCCGGGGCCGCACGCGCGCUACACUGAAGGAAUCAGCGUGGCUUUCUCCCUGACCCGAAAGGGUUGGGAAACCCGUUGAAUCUCCUUCGUGAUAGGGAUUGGGGCUUGAAAUUGUUCCCCAUGAACGAGGAAUUCCCAGUAAGCGCGAGUCAUAAGCUCGCGUUGAUUACGUCCCUGCCCUUUGUACACACCGCCCGUCGCUACUACCGAUUGAACGGUUUAGUGAGGGCCUCGGAUUGGUCUCGGCCCGCUCUUUACCGGGCGGCGCCGUUGGUCGAGAAGACGCUCGAACUUGAUCGUUUAGAGGAAGUAAAAGGCGUAACA